RNAcentral lists this ribosomal RNA (395 nucleotides) under Leptocylindrus sp. RNAcentral describes it as "partial small subunit ribosomal RNA". It matches the Rfam family "Eukaryotic small subunit ribosomal RNA", at positions 582 to 975 of the family's 1831-position model. The record is from RNAcentral. Lineage: Eukaryota; Bacillariophyta; Leptocylindrophyceae; Leptocylindrales; Leptocylindraceae.
AUUCCAGCUCCAAUAGCGUAUAUUAAAGUUGUUGCAGUUAAAAAGCUCGUAGUUGGAUUUCUGGUGCAUUCCACUGGCCUAUUGGUUAACUCCAACUUGGCUCAUUUGGAAUACGCCAUCUUUAGGCAGACCCGUCGUGGCAUUAGGUUGUCGUGAUGGUUACGCCUAUCGUUUACUGUGAAGAAAUUAGGGUGUUCAAAGCAGGCUUAUGCCAUGAAUACGUUAGCAUGGAAUAAUGAGAUAGGAUUUCGGUACUAUUUUGUUGGUUUGUGUACGGAAAUAAUGAUUAACAGGAACAGUGUCGUGGGUAUUCGUAUUUCGUUGUCAGAGGUGAAAUUCUUGGAUUUACGAAAGACGAACGACUGCGAAAGCAUUUACCAAGGGUGUUUUCAUUG